GACGAACGCUGGCGGCGUGCUUAACACAUGCAAGUCGAACGAAGAGCGAUGUACGCUUGCUUCUAUCAAUCUUAGUGGCGAACGGGUGAGUAACGCGUAAUCAACCUGCCCUUCAGAGGGGGACAACAGUUGGAAACGACUGCUAAUACCGCAUACGAUCUAAUCUCGGCAUCGAGGAUAGAUGAAAGGUGGCCUCUACAUGUAAGCUAUCACUGAAGGAGGGGAUUGCGUCUGAUUAGCUAGUUGGAGGGGUAACGGCCCACCAAGGCGAUGAUCAGUAGCCGGUCUGAGAGGAUGAACGGCCACAUUGGGACUGAGACACGGCCCAGACUCCUACGGGAGGCAGCAGUGGGGAAUCUUCCGCAAUGGACGAAAGUCUGACGGAGCAACGCCGCGUGAGCGAUGACGGCCUUCGGGUUGUAAAGCUCUGUUAAUCGGGACGAAAGGCCUUCUUGCGAAUAGUGAGAAGGAUUGACGGUACCGGAAGAGAAAGCCACGGCUAACUACGUG
Molecule: ribosomal RNA, 510 nt
Filed under: uncultured bacterium
Lineage: Bacteria
Description: partial 16S ribosomal RNA
Rfam family: Bacterial small subunit ribosomal RNA
Source: RNAcentral